AAUGCACCAAUUUGUAAGUCGCUCUGGAUAAGAGCAUCUGCUAAAUGACAUAAA
Salmo salar (Atlantic salmon) is the source of this 54-nucleotide non-coding RNA. The record is from Rfam. NCBI's taxonomy places the organism in Eukaryota, Metazoa, Chordata, Actinopteri, Salmoniformes, Salmonidae.